CCUGGUGGCUGAGAUGGUAAAGUGUCUGCCUACAAUGCGGGAGACCAGGGUUUGAUCCCUGGGCCAGGA
This 69-nucleotide transfer RNA is filed under the name Ovis aries (sheep). It matches the Rfam family "tRNA". From Rfam's summary of the family: Transfer RNA (tRNA) molecules are approximately 80 nucleotides in length. Their secondary structure includes four short double-helical elements and three loops (D, anti-codon, and T loops). Further hydrogen bonds mediate the characteristic L-shaped molecular structure. tRNAs have two regions of fundamental functional importance: the anti-codon, which is responsible for specific mRNA codon recognition, and the 3' end, to which the tRNAs corresponding amino acid is attached (by aminoacyl-tRNA synthetases). tRNAs cope with the degeneracy of the genetic code in two manners: having more than one tRNA (with a specific anti-codon) for a particular amino acid; and 'wobble' base-pairing, i.e. permitting non-standard base-pairing at the 3rd anti-codon position. Lineage: Eukaryota; Metazoa; Chordata; Mammalia; Artiodactyla; Bovidae. The record is from Rfam by way of RNAcentral.